UUCGAGUUAAGUCACUCUUUUUUCACGGGGCUUAACUCGAACUUUCCAAGUUGUGUUUCUUUCUUCGAGUUAAGCCAUUGACGACAAUGGGUGUGGUUUAGGCGUGGUCAGGGCUUAAUAACUCGAAAGGCUUAACUCGAAGAUUACCUACCUCGAACAAUGAUUGGUCUAAAUGGAACCUACUUCAUGUACGCUUAUUAUUUUGCCACGGG
Paramuricea clavata is the source of this 212-nucleotide non-coding RNA. Lineage: Eukaryota; Metazoa; Cnidaria; Anthozoa; Malacalcyonacea; Plexauridae. The record is from the annotation of a GenBank genome assembly.